RNAcentral lists this ribosomal RNA (253 nucleotides) under uncultured bacterium. RNAcentral describes it as "partial 16S ribosomal RNA". It matches the Rfam family "Bacterial small subunit ribosomal RNA", at positions 524 to 776 of the family's 1533-position model. The record is from RNAcentral.
UACGGAGGGUGCGAGCGUUGUUCGGAAUUACUGGGCGUAAAGCGCGUGCAGGCGGCCGACUAAGUCAGGUGUGAAAGCCCGGGGCUCACCUCCGGAAGUGCGCUUGAAACUGGUCGGCUGGAGUACGGGAGAGGGAAGCGGAAUUCCUGGUGUAGCGGUGAAAUGCGCAGAUAUCAGGAAGAACACCAACGGCGAAGGCAGCUCGCUGGGACGGUACUGACGCUGAGACGCGAAAGCGUGGGGAGCGAACAGG